CAGACGAUUGUAGGUUAAUUAAUUGUAACAACAGCUCUAUGCCUCUGCCUAUUCUUACGCUCUGACUUUUGAAGUACAAACCGAUGAAAAGGUAAGUUUAAAAGUCACCUGGAGCCUUUUCUAAUUUAGAUUUUUUUUCUACAAGUUAUGAUGUAUCAGACUCCAUUAAUCUCUUUGUUCAAGAGAAGCAUGCAACGGUACACAUAACAGAGCAACCACAAGUUUUAUGUUCCAGGACUUGUUAAGUGUAUUUUCAAAUAUAUGAUGCAUGUGAACUUGUUUAAGUCAGCACAAAGCUCCAUAUGAUAGCAGUUAUUUGUUCCUAAGUGAGAAAAUACAUUAACGUGUUUGCCUAACUUACCAUGCAUGGAAGCUACUAAUUUACCUACUGUACAAAUCCCUUUAUGUUAUCAGGUUCAUAAGCUAAACAGAACAUUAUAUUACAUGAUCCUAGAGUGCAAGAUAUACAAACUGAGGCCAGUCUUGAUUUUAGCCUACUGCUGUGAUAAUUCUAGAGCUUUUAUUUCUAAGAAAAGGAUAUGAUAAGAACAGAUGUUACUAAGUUGUUACGUAAAAAGCUGGUGCUAAGAUAUCUUGGUUGGUAGCUUGCACUUUAAAUUCGCCCAGAACUUAUUUAUUAUCCAAAGUGGUAUACUGAACUGCUCGUCUUUCCUUCAUUGCUCACAGAAAGAUGAAGAUUGUGCAAUUUAUUUUAGCUAGAACUGGCAGGAACUAUCUUCAGGAUGUGGAGUUAUGGAUGCGAAGAGAAACUGUUUAUUCUUGGUUUUAGUGAAUGAAGGUUGAACAUAUUAGUCUAGAUGCUCAUGUGAUGAGCUUAGCUUUUUGUUUUCUGCAAUGAUGCUUCGAUUUGUUUCUUUGUACAGUGCACAUGUUCUUGUUAAAAACAUGUGUACAAGUUGAAGGUAGAAUUUGUAAUCAUCAGUUCAUUCUGAUGGGCAAUACUUAGAACAAAGCACAUAAAUAUAGAUAUCAUGUAUUCUUCGGAUGGUGUCCUUUGUAAAGCAACAUUGUUGGUUUAAUAUAUGAGGCCUUUA
This 1055-nucleotide long non-coding RNA is filed under the name Triticum aestivum (bread wheat). Its description in RNAcentral is "long non-coding RNA (TAES_LNC027648)". The record is from RNAcentral. Lineage: Eukaryota; Viridiplantae; Streptophyta; Magnoliopsida; Poales; Poaceae.